GUAUAAGAGACAGCAGUCGCCGCGGUAAUACGUAGGGUGCAAGCGUUAAUCGGAAUUACUGGGCGUAAAGCGUGCGCAGGCGGUUAUAUAAGACAGAUGUGAAAUCCCCGGGCUCAACCUGGGAACUGCAUUUGUGACUGUAUAGCUAGAGUACGGCAGAGGGGGAUGGAAUUCCGCGUGUAGCAGUGAAAUGCGUAGAUAUGCGGAGGAACACCGAUGGCGAAGGCAAUCCCCUGGGCCUGUACUGACGCUCAUGCACGAAAGCGUGGGGAGCAAACAGGAUUAGAGACCCCUGUAGUCCCUGUCUCUUAUAC
Molecule: ribosomal RNA, 314 nt
Filed under: uncultured bacterium
Lineage: Bacteria
Description: partial 16S ribosomal RNA
Rfam family: Bacterial small subunit ribosomal RNA
Source: RNAcentral